RNAcentral lists this ribosomal RNA (438 nucleotides) under Streptococcus agalactiae. Its description in RNAcentral is "bacterial SSU rRNA". It matches the Rfam family "Bacterial small subunit ribosomal RNA", at positions 1 to 430 of the family's 1533-position model. Lineage: Bacteria; Bacillati; Bacillota; Bacilli; Lactobacillales; Streptococcaceae. The record is from RNAcentral.
UUAAUGAGAGUUUGAUCCUGGCUCAGGACGAACGCUGGCGGCGUGCCUAAUACAUGCAAGUAGAACGCUGAGGUUUGGUGUUUACACUAGACUGAUGAGUUGCGAACGGGUGAGUAACGCGUAGGUAACCUGCCUCAUAGCGGGGGAUAACUAUUGGAAACGAUAGCUAAUACCGCAUAAGAGUAAUUAACACAUGUUAGUUAUUUAAAAGGAGCAAUUGCUUCACUGUGAGAUGGACCUGCGUUGUAUUAGCUAGUUGGUGAGGUAAAGGCUCACCAAGGCGACGAUACAUAGCCGACCUGAGAGGGUGAUCGGCCACACUGGGACUGAGACACGGCCCAGACUCCUACGGGAGGCAGCAGUAGGGAAUCUUCGGCAAUGGACGGAAGUCUGACCGAGCAACGCCGCGUGAGUGAAGAAGGUUUUCGGAUCGUAAAG